CUUCUGUCUCACUUUCAUUGAAUUUGUUGAUUGAGUGUGAAGAAGGAGGCACUGUCAUCAUUUCCAGAUAUGGGGUGGAUCUCUCUUGGAGCAGUGCUGUGACCCUAACGCAAUUUUGUAACGACGAGCUGGAGGGAUGAAAAGGGCACCAGAGAAGGCACCUUAUCCCCUCUUUCUCUUCUUUCAUGGGUUCAGGGAGGCAGCAAAAGAGAGGAGGAGGACCCUUCUACUUGCCCUCUACUGAUUCACUUCACAUGUGGGUACGGAGCACCUCCUACCUCGCAUGUAAUACUGAGCACCUCCCACCUCGCAUAACUUCCAGUAAUAUGCUGAAUAAGAAUGGUGACAGUGGACACCCUGACUCAAUUCCUGAUCUCACCACGCCCCGUGACUUCACACCCUCCUCCAGACUUGGCUUCCUCCUAGACUGCUGACCCCAGGAUGGUUUGAAGACCCACGUCCUUCUGUCCUCCCUCCACUGCCGGUCACCCCCCGUGCUUCUGAGUCAUCCCUUGUGGCGGGCAUCUGGCCACCGCUCCCAUGACCCCACAACAUUGCUGUCUGAGAAUCACCUCCCCAGAAGUGUUAACCCAAACCAGUGAACGAAAAGACAUUGUCAAGACUCGUCACGAAGGGGAAGAAAGAAGGAGAAGACCAAACAUACCCCUCUGGUGGGCGGUGGAAACUCACCAGGAGGGGCCGGCAAGACUCACAUGGUGGGAGCGCCACGAGGCAGGGGCUGACGGAAGGGCCUCCCGCCCACGCUCAGAGCCUCCGCUGUUUUGCCUUUCUGGGGCUGCUGGGGGCUCCCACUGAGCGCUGCUCCUGGGCCCUUAGCAAUCAUCAUUUUACGCAUUUUGAUCCUGGUCUAGUCUUCUGGCUUUCUCUCUCUCUCUCUUUCCUCCUUCUGAAAGUCUGGGUGCAGGAGACAACCCUUCCUGCCCCAAACAGGAGCGGGAUGUCCCCAUCCUCAGGUCUCGUCUCACUAUUGACGCCACCCGUGCCCAGCCCCAACAUCUCCACCUGUCACAAUCCUCCCCAACCCUUCAGGCCCAGCUCAACUCUUUAAUGGGUGAGUGAAUAAC
This is a long non-coding RNA of Lynx canadensis (Canada lynx), 1085 nucleotides long. RefSeq lists it as uncharacterized. NCBI's taxonomy places the organism in Eukaryota, Metazoa, Chordata, Mammalia, Carnivora, Felidae. The transcript is spliced from 4 exons. The record is from RefSeq and is a predicted model, not a curated record.